AGGGGCUUAGGAUAGCACGAGACCGAGAGCCUUCAAAGCUCUAAGCAGAAGUGAAAAUCUUCUAGCCCCUG
RNAcentral lists this transfer RNA (71 nucleotides) under Rhynchocypris keumkang. RNAcentral describes it as "Phoxinus keumkang tRNA-Trp". It matches the Rfam family "tRNA". From Rfam's summary of the family: Transfer RNA (tRNA) molecules are approximately 80 nucleotides in length. The record is from RNAcentral. Lineage: Eukaryota; Metazoa; Chordata; Actinopteri; Cypriniformes; Leuciscidae.